GAAUUUGAUCAUGGCUCAGGAUGAACGCUAGCGGCAGGCUUAACACAUGCAAGUCGAGGGGCAGCGCGGGUAGCAAUAUCUGGCGGCGACCGGCAAACGGGUGCGGAACACGUACGCAAUCUACCUUGGUCUGGGGCAUAGCCCGGUGAAAACCGGAUUAACACCCCAUAGUAUAAUGGGAGGGCAUCUUUCUGUUAUUAAAAAUUUAUUGGAUCAAGAUGAGCGUGCGUCCCAUUAGCUAGUUGGUAGGGUAACGGCCUACCAAGGCGACGAUGGGUAGCUGAUGUGAGAGCAUGAUCAGCCACACGGGCACUGAGACACGGGCCCGACUCCUACGGGAGGCAGCAGUGAGGAAUAUUGGUCAAUGGACGCAAGUCUGAACCAGCCAUGCCGCGUGAAGGAUGAAGGCGUUCUGCGUUGUAACUUCUUUAUUGGGAGAACCUCUUUUUCUAAGGAGCCGACGGUACCCAACGAAUAAGCACCGGCUAACUCCGUGCCAGCCGCCGCCGU
RNAcentral lists this ribosomal RNA (510 nucleotides) under uncultured Sphingobacterium sp. Its description in RNAcentral is "bacterial SSU rRNA". It matches the Rfam family "Bacterial small subunit ribosomal RNA", at positions 9 to 521 of the family's 1533-position model. The record is from RNAcentral. Lineage: Bacteria; Pseudomonadati; Bacteroidota; Sphingobacteriia; Sphingobacteriales; Sphingobacteriaceae.